AGACCCGAAACCCGGUGAUCUAGCCAUGGGCAGGUUGAAGGUUGGGUAACACUAACUGGAGGACCGAACCGACUAAUGUUGAAAAAUUAGCGGAUGACCUGUGGCUGGGGGUGAAAGGCCAAUCAAACCGGGAGAUAGCUGGUUCUCCCCGAAAGCUAUUUAGGUAGCGCCUCGUGAAUUCAUCUCCGGGGGUAGAGCACUGUUUCGGCCAGGGGGCCAUCCCGGCUUACCAACCCGAUGCAAACUGCGAAUACCGGAGAAUGUUAUCACGGGAGACACACGGCGGGUGCUAACGUCCGUCGUGAAGAGGGAAACAACCCAGACCGCCAGCUAAGGUCCCAAAGUCAUGGUUAAGUGGGAAACGAUGUGGGAAGGCCCAGACAGCCAGGAUGUUGGCUUAGAAGCAGCCAUCAUUUAAAGAAAGCGUAAUAGCUCACUGGUCGAGUCGGCCUGCGCGGAAGAUGUAACGGGGCUAAACCAUGCACCGAAGCUGCGGCAGCGACACUGUGUGUUGUUGGGUAGGGGAGCGUUCUGUAAGCCUGCGAAGGUGGCCUGUGAGGGUUGCUGGAGGUAUCAGAAGUGCGAAUGCUGACAUAAGUAACGAUAAUGCGGGUGAAAAACCCGCACG
This 628-nucleotide ribosomal RNA is filed under the name Salmonella enterica. RNAcentral's name for it is "partial 23S ribosomal RNA". It matches the Rfam family "Bacterial large subunit ribosomal RNA", at positions 711 to 1336 of the family's 2925-position model. The record is from RNAcentral. Lineage: Bacteria; Pseudomonadati; Pseudomonadota; Gammaproteobacteria; Enterobacterales; Enterobacteriaceae.